Callithrix jacchus (white-tufted-ear marmoset) is the source of this 295-nucleotide long non-coding RNA. The record is from Ensembl. NCBI's taxonomy places the organism in Eukaryota, Metazoa, Chordata, Mammalia, Primates, Cebidae.
CUCUGCUUUUCUGAUGCAAGAAGCUGCAAGAUUCCAUCUCUGCCAUAAUGUCAUCCUGUUGGCUGGCUACAUCCACAAAGUUCAACAAACCAGUUCAACCUGAAGAAAGAGAGAGGGAGAGGGAAGAUUUUGACUCUAAGAUGAAACCCGAAUCUUCCAGCAGCCAAUCCAACAACUGAAAACCACGGGUGAAGUGUUGUAAUCAACAUCCCACUGAGAAGAAUUGCCCAGUUGACUCCUGCCUGCAUUGCUGCUCCAAAAUAUUGGGAGGUAUAAUAAAAUGGUUUGUUUAAAG